This 327-nucleotide unclassified non-coding RNA is filed under the name soil metagenome. Its description in RNAcentral is "partial contains 5.8S ribosomal RNA, internal transcribed spacer 2, and large subunit ribosomal RNA". The stretch from base 4 to 119 matches the Rfam family "5.8S ribosomal RNA", at positions 39 to 154 of the family's 154-position model. The record is from RNAcentral.
GAUAAGAACGUAGCGAAAUGCGAUAAGUAAUGUGAAUUGCAGAAUUCCGUGAAUCAUCGAAUCUUUGAACGCACAUUGCGCCCCUUGGUAUUCCGAGGGGCAUGCCUGUUCGAGCGUCAUUAUAACCCCUCAAGCUCAGCUUGGUGUUGGGGCCUGCCGCACGGGCAGCCCUUAAAAUCAGUGGCGGUGCCAUCUGGCUCUAAGCGUAGUAAUUCUUCUCGCUAUAGAGUCCCGGUGGAUGCUUGCCAUUAACCCCCAAUUUUCUAUGGUUGACCUCGGAUCAGGUAGGGAUACCCGCUGAACUUAAGCAUAUCAAUAAGCGGAGGA